RNAcentral lists this ribosomal RNA (523 nucleotides) under uncultured Pseudomonadota bacterium. Its description in RNAcentral is "bacterial SSU rRNA". It matches the Rfam family "Bacterial small subunit ribosomal RNA", at positions 8 to 522 of the family's 1533-position model. Lineage: Bacteria; Pseudomonadati; Pseudomonadota. The record is from RNAcentral.
AGAGUUUGGUCAUGGCUCAGAUUGAACGUUGGCGGCAGGCCUAAAACAUGCAAGUCGAACGGUAACAGCGGAAGCUUGCUUCCGGCUGACGAGUGGCGGACGGGUGAGUAACACGUAGGAAUCUACCUAGUAGUGGGGGACAACCCGGGGAAACCCGGGCUAAUACCGCAUACGCUCUAUGGAGGAAAGCAGGGGAUCUUCGGACCUUGCGCUAUUGGAGGAGCCUGCGUCGGAUUAGCUAGUUGGUGGGGUAAAGGCCUACCAAGGCGACGAUCCGUAGCUGGUCUGAGAGGACGAUCAGCCACACUGGAACUGAGACACGGUCCAGACUCCUACGGGAGGCAGCAGUUAGGAAUCUUGGGCAAUGGGCGCAAGCCUGACCCAGCCAUGCCGCGUGUGUGAAGAAGGCCUUCGGGUUGUAAAGCACUUUCAGCGGUGAAGAAAAGCUCAGGGCCAAUAUCCUUGAGUCUUGACGUUAACCGCAGAAGAAGCACCGGCUAACUUCGUGCCAGCAGCCGCGGUA